Molecule: ribosomal RNA, 465 nt
Filed under: uncultured bacterium
Lineage: Bacteria
Description: partial 16S ribosomal RNA
Rfam family: Bacterial small subunit ribosomal RNA
Source: RNAcentral
CCUACGGGUGGCAGCAGUAGGGAAUUUUCGUCAAUGGGCGCAAGCCUGAACGAGCGAUGCCGCGUGAGUGAAGAAGGCCUUCUGGUCGUAAAGCUCUGUUUCUGGGGAAAAAAGGCAGCAUCAGGAAAUGGGUUCUUACUGAUGGUGCCCCGCCAGAAAGUCACGGCUAACUACGUGCCAGCAGCCGCGGUAAUACGUAGGUGGCGAGCGUUAUCCGGAGUGAUUGGGCGUAAAGGGUGCGGAGGCGGUCCUGCAAGUCUGGAGUGAAACGCAUGAGCUCAACUCAUGAAGGGCUGUGGAGACUGGAGGACUGGAGAGCAGGAGAGGGCGGUGGAAGUCCAGGUGUAGCGGUAAAAUGCGUAGAUAUAUGGAAGAACACCAGUGGCGAAGGCGGCCGCCUGGACUGUAGCUGACGCUGAGGCACGAAAGCGUGGGGAGCAAAUAGGAUUAGAUACCCUUGUAGUC